CAGAACCUAAGCUCUGCUUCUCAAGUCUCUCUUGGGCCUUCUCCAGCACCAACUGCAAAUACCUUCCCUGUGCCUCUAUUCGUACUUCACAUUGUGGCAUAUUUCCAACCACCUUCCUAAUUGGAUGAAUCACAAGAAUCAAGCAAUUGCAAAGGAGUUCUAUCUUUCUAUCAAUAGAAAAACUUUUAUUUGCAGGGGAGCUGUCAAAGAAGCAUCUGGCCAUCCAAACAAGUUCUUUAAUGUUUUGGGUUCUCAAUGGUGUGUACCAUUUCAGACCGUUCACAGAGAGGAAUGGUGAGGUCCCGAGUAGACUUCAGGUCACAGAAUGCUGUUCCAGAUUUAAAUAAAAGAUCAUGAAUGAAUGAUUCUUUGGCAGUCAGUCAUGCAGCUAAGUGGUCAUCACAAACUCCACCCGGUUUGCGUACCUUACAUGAGCCGUCAGCGGGUCCACUUUUCCCCGAAUGACAAGACGAGCAGGUAGUCGAGUGGUACCCAAACGGGCCGUUGUUAUUGCAACCUCUUCCGCCUCGCAACCCGCGGGUUCGCUCGGUGGGAUGGGAUCUUUUUCGCGAAUGCCGGAGAAGGAAGGCGUCGGGGAGGCGGCGGAAGACGAAGAUCGUGUACGACUUGGGCCCUGCGUCGAGGUCGAUUAGGGUGAACGUUGCCCAGGAUCAACUUUUAUUCCGCCGUUCCCGCUCCAUUCACCGGGAAAGACCCUAGACAAUCUCCGCAGAGCCCUGGAGAAUACCGGCUUUCUCUGCGCCGCCAUUCUCGACGCAAAGGGUCCAGGUUCCAAAUGGAUUUUCCAAAGGUGGCAAAUGUAUCCAUUUGAAAAAGUGUCAACAAAUCACCGUCGCUAUUGGUUACCGCAUUAAGGGUGACGAUACCAUGAUAGCCAUGAGCUACAGAAACUUGGCUGAGGAUUUGGAGCCAGACUGUCACAUUAUAUGCUAUUGAGGCUAUUGCACUUGUGGUUCUUUCUGUGAGUAGUUAGGGCUGGUCAGUUGCUCCGUUAGAAUUCUGCAAUUCUUGGAGAGAGAGAAAACAUAAAUCUUCCAGGUGUUGUGAUCUUUUUGCACCAAUAGAGAAGGAAAAGGAGAAUAUCCUAGAAAAGGGACAUCCCAAACAAAAUUGGCAUGAUUGCCUUCUCCCUUAUAACCAGAGGUUCCAACUUUCUGAAGUUUGGAAAGGCUGGGAAUCAAGAAGGGGUAGCCAAUUUUGAUGCUACUCUUGUGAAUUUUUAUGGUUGCACGGAGAGAUUUGAGAAUAGAAAUUCCUUUUGAAAAGAUAUAAUAUGCUUGAAAUUUGAUGUCCCCCUUCAAGCAGAAGCAACUGUUGUAGCUAAUGCUGUUCUUGAUUGCAGUGACUGAGACGUGCUCAGUGGUGAAACAGCUGGAGGUGCUUACCUGAAACUAGCAAUUCAGAUUGCUUGGAAGAAGUCUCUUUUAUGGAUCAUGGAUCUGUUUUAAAGGAAUCAUGGCAGAACACCUGUUCAUAUGAGUCCUGUUGAGAGCCUUGCAUCAUAGUUUGUCUGAAAUGCUAAUCCUACCAAGGCAUCUCUCGUCUUGGUCCUGACCAGAAGAGGGAGUUUUCUAAACUAGCAAAAUACAGGCCAGCAAUGCCAAUACUAUCUGUAGUGGUUCCCUGGUUGAUAGAUUUCUUUUCGGACUGGUACCAGGUAUUGAUCUCUGCAAUUUCCAAGGCCUCAGACACUGAAUUUGUUAUACAGCAUGCAAAGGCCAAAUCCAGAUAAACAAUUGUGACACUGCAUUGAAUUGGAGUUGCAUCUAUGAAUCAGAUUUUGACACAAUCAAAUGAUUCAUUGAUGAUAGCUGAAAAAUCUCCUGUGCACGAUUUUGUUCAGUAGUAUUUAAGUUUCCUAUCAGUACACAAUUUUGUUAACUAGUAUAUGUCCCUAUUUUGAGUUUCUGGGUUUUGUUUCUUAGUAUGUUUUCUUAAGGUUAAUCUUUUAGAGGCAUGUGCUUAUGCUUAGCAUUCACCUACCUGGAGGGAAUUCUUUGAGUAUUUUGUUC
Musa acuminata subsp. malaccensis (wild Malaysian banana) is the source of this 2033-nucleotide non-coding RNA. The record is from RefSeq and is a predicted model, not a curated record. Lineage: Eukaryota; Viridiplantae; Streptophyta; Magnoliopsida; Zingiberales; Musaceae.